CUGCUGUAAUUUUAAAGGUAUAUGAGAAGACAGUUGGAGCCAGGCAACUUGUGUUUCUAGUGUCAUACAGGACAGGGAGGACCACGGACUCGCUCCAGGGGUUGGAGAAGUUGACUGGGAAGACACCCGGCCCUAAGCAGCAGAAAGAAGAAUCCCCAAGGCUAAGAGCAGUAGCACUGAAACCUCCCCCAGCUGCAAAGCUCUGCGGCCUAACCAGAAGCAGUUGGGUCAGUGAACCUUCCCAGC
Molecule: long non-coding RNA, 246 nt
Filed under: Fukomys damarensis (Damara mole-rat)
Lineage: Eukaryota; Metazoa; Chordata; Mammalia; Rodentia; Bathyergidae
Description: lncRNA (ENSFDAG00000029843.1)
Source: RNAcentral